RNAcentral lists this ribosomal RNA (778 nucleotides) under uncultured archaeon. RNAcentral describes it as "bacterial SSU rRNA". It matches the Rfam family "Archaeal small subunit ribosomal RNA", at positions 577 to 1353 of the family's 1478-position model. The record is from RNAcentral.
GGGAAUACUGUAGAGCUAGGGAGUGGGAGAGGUAGACGGUACUCGGUAGGAAGGGGUAAAAUCCUUUGAUCUAUUGAUGACCACCUGUGGCGAAGGCGGUCUACCAGAACACGUCCGACGGUGAGGGGUGAAAGCUGGGGGAGCAAGCCGGAUUAGAUACCCGGGUAGUCCCAGCUGUAAACUAUGCAAACUCAGUGAUGCAUUGGCUUGUGGCCAAUGCAGUGCUGCAGGGAAGCCGUUAAGUUUGCCGCCUGGGAAGUACGUACGCAAGUAUGAAACUUAAAGGAAUUGGCGGGGGAGCACCACAAGGGGUGAAGCCUGCGGUUCAAUUGGAGUCAACGCCAGAAAUCUUAUCCGGAGAGACAGCAGAAUGAAGGUCAAGCUGAAGACUUUACCAGACAAGCUGAGAGGUGGUGCAUGGCUGUCGCCAGCUCGUGCCGUGAGAUGUCCUGUUAAGUCAGGUAACGAGCGAGAUCCCUGCCUUUAGUUGCCACCAUUACUCUCAGGAGUAGUGGGGCGAAUUAGCGGGACCGCCGUAGUUAAUGCGGAGGAAGGAAGGGGCCACGGCAGGUCAGUAUGCCCCGAAACUCUGGGGCCACACGCGGGCUGCAAUGGUAAUGACAAUGGGUCCCAAAUCCGAAAGGAGGAGGUAAUCCUCAAACAUUACCACAGUUAUGACUGAGGGCUGCAACUCGCCCUCACGAAUAUGGAAUCCCUAGUAACUGCGUGUCAUUAUCGCGCGGUGAAUACGUCCCUGCUCCUUGCACUCACCGCCCGU